CUCCCCAAGAAGCUCACUCAUAUUACACUCAACAACUAAUUCUUCAAGAUCUUCGCCACGAUCAUCUUCUUGAUCAUAUAGAUCAAUCUUAAGAAGCAAAAUCUACUCCACACAAGAAGCCAUGUAUGGAGAAAGGACUUGGACAAAAGAUUCAAGAUCUUAAGAAAAAAUUAAUGAAGAUCCAGAUUGGAAGCCACCAUC
RNAcentral lists this long non-coding RNA (201 nucleotides) under Elaeis guineensis (African oil palm). RNAcentral's name for it is "long non-coding RNA (EGUI_LNC006421)". The record is from RNAcentral. Lineage: Eukaryota; Viridiplantae; Streptophyta; Magnoliopsida; Arecales; Arecaceae.